GAUGAACGCUGGCGGCGUGCCUAAUACAUGCAAGUCGAGCGAACAGACGAGGAGCUUGCUCCUCUGACGUUAGCGGCGGACGGGUGAGUAACACGUGGAUAACCUACCUAUAAGACUGGGAUAACUUCGGGAAACCGGAGCUAAUACCGGAUAAUAUAUUGAACCGCAUGGUUCAAUAGUGAAAGACGGUUUUGCUGUCACUUAUAGAUGGAUCCGCGCCGCAUUAGCUAGUUGGUAAGGUAACGGCUUACCAAGGCAACGAUGCGUAGCCGACCUGAGAGGGUGAUCGGCCACACUGGAACUGAGACACGGUCCAGACUCCUACGGGAGGCAGCAGUAGGGAAUCUUCGGCAAUGGGCGAAAGCCUGACGGAGCAACGCCGCGUGAGUGAUGAAGGUCUUCGGAUCGUAAAACUCUGUUAUUAGGGAAGAACAGAUGUGUAAGUAACUAUGCACGUCUUGACGGUACCUAAUGAGAAAGCCACGGCUAACUACGUG
Molecule: ribosomal RNA, 497 nt
Filed under: uncultured bacterium
Lineage: Bacteria
Description: partial 16S ribosomal RNA
Rfam family: Bacterial small subunit ribosomal RNA
Source: RNAcentral